Long non-coding RNA from Daucus carota subsp. sativus, 1398 nucleotides. RefSeq lists it as uncharacterized. The record is from RefSeq and is a predicted model, not a curated record. The transcript has 4 exons. NCBI's taxonomy places the organism in Eukaryota, Viridiplantae, Streptophyta, Magnoliopsida, Apiales, Apiaceae.
AAUUUAUAUAAAAGAGAAUCCAAUAUCUUAAUUAUUAUUAAUUUAUUUGAUGUGUUUGAAUAAAAUGUAGGAUCUGUGAACAAAAUGACCCAAAAAAUAUGUACCACAAUUUUGAAAAACUUGAAAAUAUAUAACUGCCCUGACAAAAUAUGACAAAAUUAAAGGAAAUUAUAUGGCCGGAGGUGCAAAAACUCAAAAACUACCCAAAUUAACAGUUUUUUUUCUUCUUUCAGCUACAUGGAGAACGAGUAUUUUAGAGCAACGAUUCAGGGAAUAUAGAUUUUAAAGCUUCAGCCCUUCUUUAAAUGUUUCCCAUUGGACUGUACUGAAAUGUGGAGCUCAGCAUGUCUGGAACCAAAGGGAACUUUCUUCUGCUAAUAUCAUAGUAAGUGGGUCAUUUGUAUGCACGACUCUGUUUCUUUCACUGCCACAUCCGACUCUUAAUUUAAGGUUUGUUUUUUUCCAAGUUUGUUUUAGCUGGUCUCGUUUGACCCAACUCCAAACCCCUUGUGUGGCCGCAAAAGUUCUCAGCCUUCCAGUAUAUUGCUGUAUAACAUUUCCAGUGAUGCAUUCUCAUGUGUUUUUACUGCAAAUCUCAUAGAUGAAUGCCUUUGAUUAUUUCAGCACUGGGAGCAUAAGCAUCUCUAAGAGAGUUCACAUUUUUCGAUACUCUCGAUUCCUAUAAUUGCAAAUUACAUCCCAACAAAUAGUGUUUCAUCUCCAAUGACAUAUAUUUCUUUGAGCACAAUCAAAUAUCUGAUAUCUCUGCGAUUGAAUUUUCUUUAUGUUACUUUCACAUUAAUUAUUUUUUAGCUUUUAAGGGGAAUGAACUAAAACAUCGUUCAAAGAAGACUUUGCAAAUAAACAGUAGGGCGACAUAUUUGAGGAAAGUUAAAAGCUGCUGGAAUCUAGUUAUCUAUCCAAGACCCCAAAGUUGAUGUUGUUGUCUUCAAAAUCUUCAAAGUUCACUUUAUGCAAGUUGUCUCCAUAUACAAGAACUUUUGCUAGUGGAAGCCGGAUUUUCUUAUUAAUCAUUGCUCAGAAGACAGACAGCUUCAGUUAUGCAAGAAGAUUUGAAGUCUUCCGGUGUGCACUCUGAGCUUGUAGAAGUCUGAGUGUUAAAUAUGCUGCUCUGGCAGGCAUGCGAUUUCUGUCCCCAGAAUAAUAUCUACACCAAUAAAUUCUCCAUAUUUGCACUCUUUCAAAGCUCUUAGCCGUGCAAGCAGACUAAUUGUUUAAACGUCCGCUUAAGCUUCUGACGAAAAAUUGAAACCAUAGACUAUAGCUAAUUAGAUACUGAGAAGCAUGUUUGGAUUACCUUGCCCAAUCUAUUUCACAUUUAUAAUACUUGUAUAAUAUAUGCAUUUUCUGUAUAAUAUUAUCAGUUUUUAUAUGUUA